Small nucleolar RNA from Scophthalmus maximus (turbot), 151 nucleotides. Lineage: Eukaryota; Metazoa; Chordata; Actinopteri; Pleuronectiformes; Scophthalmidae. The record is from Ensembl.
CUUCGGUGAUGAUACGAUGACGAGACAGAACGGGACUCGGCCUGGUUCUGCUGGUGACCGGUUCGGGGCCACGUUCUGUGGUUCUGUCCCGGUUCCUCAGAGCCGCGAGUUCUUUCCACGUGAAGACACAAGAGGCAUUUGUCUGAGAAGG